Uranotaenia lowii is the source of this 682-nucleotide long non-coding RNA. RefSeq lists it as uncharacterized. The transcript is spliced from 2 exons. The record is from RefSeq and is a predicted model, not a curated record. Lineage: Eukaryota; Metazoa; Arthropoda; Insecta; Diptera; Culicidae.
GGGAAACGUCUACACUACGGCUUUUCCCGUGGUGGUCUUCCUCUGGAUGAAAGAGACAGGAACGUGUCAGGUUAUAAAAACUGUCGAAAACUAUCGCCCAAUAAUCAGUUGAUUUGUGAACCCGUGCGGAAAACAGCCUGUGCCAAAUCGGAAGUUGUCGUUGCGUUUUUGUGACCACCCCAGUAAAUUAAUUUCGGAAGAAUCUCAAAAUGAAAUACGUGUUUGUGUCCUUUGCUCUCCUGGUGCUCGCCCUGGCCCUGGUUUCUGCUGCUCCUGCCGUCCAAGAUGAGUCGAUCGUUGUCGCUGCUCCACUUGAGGAGGGAGUACAGACAGCCGAAGCCAUCAAUCCCCAGGAUCCCCAGGCCAUUAUCGGUGGACAGAUCCUGAGACAGCUGAUGAGGCUGUUAACUCUGGGCUAAGCCGAGAGCCCUUUUUUCAGCACCUCAACCUCCAAACAUCGACACAAUUAUUAUUAAUUUAUUUUUAAUUAUUCGCUGGACUAUUGUCCUUCCGUUUCCCCAUUCCUGCAUUUUGUCUCCUCACAUAUCAAUCAAACACACUGCCAAACCGUGGUGUAUUUGUAGUUUUUUGUACCUCGUUGAUCACCAACAGCCCAACAUACCAAUAAAUAAUAUUAACAUAAAUCAAUAGUUGGAAAAUAUAAAUCACAUUGUACGAAAAA